This 3168-nucleotide long non-coding RNA is filed under the name Dasypus novemcinctus (nine-banded armadillo). Its description in RNAcentral is "lncRNA (ENSDNOG00000050038.1)". The record is from RNAcentral. Lineage: Eukaryota; Metazoa; Chordata; Mammalia; Cingulata; Dasypodidae.
GCCCGGAGCCAAGAUGGCCGCCGCGGCUUCGGGUCCGCCGCGUGCCCUUUCGCGGGCGGAGCCCCCGGCGCACGCCGCUUCUCCCCUCGGGGUUGUGAGAGUGGGAACGGUUGGAGGCAUUGAGGCUGCAUUUCCACCAAGCAGGCCGGAUUCCUCGCGUCUGGUGCCCCGAGCUUGGGCAGGCCAUGGAAGGGAGCAGCGGUCGGCUGCCGCCUGCCCCGCUCUGCAGUUGAGUGUGAAAACCUGCCCUUCCUUGCGUGGGCGGGCCUCACCGUCCCCGCCCCACUGGCAGUGUUACCUUCACGUAUUAGCUGUUUUGCCUCAUCGGAAGAAAGUAUAUUUGGGGUCAGUGGGCGAACAUCCAACCAAACCCUUUCAUUCGAAAAAAAAAUCCUCUUUGCCUAAAUCACUCAGUAAAUUGUUUGAGCUACUGAAUAGCAUUCAAAUUAAUUCACUCAUUAAUUCAAAUAAAUGAAACCAUCAUAUCCUUCUUUGGUUGUACACACCUCGGAUGUCCAGGCCCCUGAGUCAGGACAAUUGUAAAAUAUGGAUUUAGUUCAAUCUCAACAGACAGAUACUUGUCGUGUUGUGGCUGUGUGCAUGUCUGAGGGAGAGAAUGGCAUUAUCAAAGAUUGCUGGAGUUGUCCAAAGGUCAGAGACCAGAAAAUGAGCAAAGCCCAGCUUCCCAGCUUCUCCUGGGGUGCAUGCACUAGUUGGAAGAUAUGGUAAGGCUGAAUGCCAGCCUGGGAUCUAAAUGCAAAGUAAGGGUGGGUGUGAGGGGACACUGAGCCUACCAGGUAACAAGAGAACAAAACAGAGUGGUCUGGCCUGUUGAACACUGGGAUUAGCAGCAGAGCCCCAGAACAUCGUAUAAAUGAAUCGUCUGGUAGAAGGGCAGCCUCGUAAAACCAAGAUUAAGUGAUGGGCAAACACGGGCAAAACCUGGACUUUUCUGAGAAAGGACCCUGUAUGGUAGAAUUGUGUUCCCCAAAAAGAUACGUGGAGAAGCAGAUGUGGCUCAAGCGAUUGGGCCCCCAUCUACCAUAUAGGAGGUCCAGGGUUCAGUGCCCGGGGCCUCCUAGUGAAGGCAGGCUGGGCCGCAUGGAGAGCUGGUCCUUGCAGGUGCUGGCCCACACAGAGUGCUGACCUGCAUGGAGUGCUGCCCCACACAGAAGUGCUGGCCCACACAGAGAGCUGGCAGAGCAAGAUGAUGCAACAAAAAGAGACACAGAGGAGAGACAAUAGGAGACGCAGCACACCAGGGACCUGAGGUGGUGCAAGAGAUUGAGCACCUCUCUCCCACUUUGGAAGGUCCCAGGAUCAGUUCCUGGUGCCGCCUAAAGAGAAGAGAAGCAGACACAGAAGAACACACAGAGAAUGGACAAAGAGAACAGACGGGGGGAUAAAUAAAUAAACCUAAAAAAAAAAAAAAGAUAUGUGUAAGUCCUAAGCCCCAGUACCUGUGAACGGGACCUUAUUUGGAAAUAUUGUGGUUGGAAUUAGUUAAGUAAAAAGGAGAUCAUACUGCAGUACAGUGGGCAGGGUGGGCUGUUAAUCCAGUGACAGGGGUCCCUAGCAGGACACGUGAAACAAGGAGACAAAGACUGCAAUGAUGCAUUUCUAAGCCAAGGUUGCUGGCAAACGCCAGAAGCUGGAAGAGGCAAGGAAGGAUUCUCGCCUACAGGUUUCAGAUGGACACUGGCCCUGCCGACACUUUGAUUUCCUGGAGAGCUGCCAGAUGGUGAAAGGAUACAUUUCUGUUGUUUGAACCAGCCAGUUCGUGGUCCUUUGUUGUGGCAGCACAAGAAAUCUCAGACAGACCCCGAGAGCUGAAGCACCAGAAGCCAGACUCCCUUCGCCUGGAGUGUGAGAUUUGGCCACAGGGGAAGGCAGGCACCAAAGGAUUCAUCUGAUGGUGUGAGUUCACGUGUGUCUAAGUGUGUGGGCAUGUGAGUGUUUAUCUGGUAUGUGGCAGGUAGCAUUUCUGUGGGCAUCGUUAGUUGGAAUCAAUAUAUAAAUCAGGGAAAUGGAUGUGGCUCAACCAAUUGGGCUCCUGUCUACCAUACAGGAAGUCCAGGGUUCGAUGUCCAGGGUUCGAUGCCCAGGGCCUCCUGCUGAGGGCAAGCUGGCCCACAUAGAGCGCCGGCUUUGCGCAGAAGUGCGGCCCCGUGCAGGAGUGCCGGCCGACGCAGAGAGCUGGUGCACCAAGAUGACGCAACAAGAGACACAGAGGAGAGAAAAUAAGAAGACACAGCAGAACAGGGAGAUGUGUGGCACAAGAGAGUAAUCACCUCUCUUCCACUCCGGAAGGUCCCAGGAUCAGUUCCUGGAGCCACCUAAUGAGAAUACAAGCAGACGCAGAAGAACACACAGUGAAUGGACACAGAGAGCAGACAAUGGGGGUGGUGGUGGGGGGAUAAAAAAACUCAUAAUGUAUAUAUAUAUAAAUCAGUAUGCCUCUCUGCUCCAUUUACCUCAACUUUUCCUUUUCAGUUUGGAGCAAUUCCUGUUGCCUUUUGAACUGCUCCAGCCUUCCUACCACCAGGAUGGCCCACAUACCACUCUGGGAUCUUCAGAGCUCCCCAACUCUGACCACUGCCCCGUCCUGCACAUUUCACAGGAUCUGCUUCCCAUCUGGUCUGUUGCUCCCACCCAUCUCCUUUUUUUUUUUUUUAAUUUCAAUGUGCUGGGGAACGCAGAUGUGGCUCAAGUGAUAGGGCUUCUGCCUACCAUAUGGGAGGAACCAGGUUUGAUCUCUGGGGCCUCCUGGUGAAAAAGAAGAGAAAGCAUGACUGCACGGCAGGCCAGUGCCCAUGUGGUGAGCCAGUGCCCACACAAAGCAAGUCACGCAGCAAGAUGAUGAUGCAACAAAAAGAGAGACAAAGGGGAAAGUCAAGGUGAAGCACAGCAGAAACCAGGAACUGAGGUGGCACAGCUAACAGGGAACCUCUCUCCACAUCAGAGGUCCCCAGGAUCGAAUCCCAGUGAAUCCUAGAGGAGAGAAAAUGAGAAGACAAGACCAAAAGAGAAAUAGAUACAGAAGAUCACACAGCAAAUGGAUACAGACAGCAAAAACAUCAGGGCAGGAUGGGGAGAGGAGAAGGGAGGAAAAUAAAUAAAUAAAUAUUUUUUAAAAAAUUUCAGUGUGCUGCUACCUAAUCCUUGGAC